UCAAAAUAUCCAAUUGCAUCAUUUAAUCAAUGCUGAAAGGUCAAAAGUUAAAAGUAAAACUGGUUAAAAUUUAGAAGAAUUAACAUACAUCCUUAGUAUUUUUUAUACACUAUAUUGGAUUUGAUUUUAUAUUAUUGAAUAUGCAGGGAGCAUAAAUCUUUAGGUGGUUAGGGAACUAUAUAUAGCACCAAAACUUCAGGUUCAACAUCCUCAUGUCUGUAAUGAAAUGAAACUGAAGGGCCUUAUGCGGCAGAGCUUAGAGAGGCGAUAUGUCAUCAUCAUAAAUAUGACUCUCUCCCUUCCCUGCCAUAGUUGGAAAGGGUUUAUAUAGAUUGAAAUUAUUAAGUGCAGUUGGGUACAACCAAUUAAUUGAAAGGUGCAUGGGAAAGACUAUAUGUGAUUGAACGAAAGAUGGUUGUAGUUAGUUUUCCUAUGCACCUUUCAAUUAUGUUUUCGCACCCAGCAAUAAUAAUUUCUUUCUAUAUGAACCCCAUUUCUGUGUAACUACUAAGAGAGAUAGUCAAUUAUAUGAUGAUGAGAAUAUAUUACCUCUUUAAACUCUCCUACAUAAGCCUUUUGAUUUUCUUUUAGGGGUUGUUUGCUUUUUCCACAAUUCAAUUAUGUGCAUAAAAUUACCUGCUGCAAAUAAAUUGCUGGCAAUUGGAACUGCAGCUGUAUAAUAAGGCUUUGUUUGGUUGGUUGUAAUUGAGUUGCAAUUGUAACUGUGAUUCUUUUACAACUAUUUUGUUGUUUGGAGUUGACUCUGAUAUAUUACCUUGUAAUUUAGAUGGCAAGGUUACCCCUUUGAANNNNNNNNNNNNNNNNNNNNAAAAUAUCCAAUUGCAUCAUUUAAUCAAUGCUGAAAGGUCAAAAGUUAAAAGUAAAACUGGUUAAAAUUUAGAAGAAUUAACAUACAUCCUUAGUAUUUUUUAUACACUAUAUUGGAUUUGAUUUUAUAUUAUUGAAUAUGCAGGGAGCAUAAAUCUUUAGGUGGUUAGGGAACUAUAUAUAGCACCAAAACUUCAGGUUCAACAUCCUCAUGUCUGUAAUGAAAUGUAACUGAAGGGCCUUAUGCGGCAGAGCUUAGAGAGGCGAUAUGUCAUCAUCAUAAAUAUGACUCUCUCCCUUCCCUGCCAUAGUUGGAAAGGGUUUAUAUAGAUUGAAAUUAUUAAGUGCAGUUGGGUACAACCAAUUAAUUGAAAGGUGC
This 1207-nucleotide long non-coding RNA is filed under the name Elaeis guineensis (African oil palm). RNAcentral's name for it is "long non-coding RNA (EGUI_LNC056592)". The record is from RNAcentral. Lineage: Eukaryota; Viridiplantae; Streptophyta; Magnoliopsida; Arecales; Arecaceae.